GAAAAUUGUAUGACCGAUCAAGCGUACCAACUUAAAAACAAUGAUAGUUUGUGUAAUGUCACCGAUAGAACACCUUUUGGCGAAGAUAUAUGUUAUCUGUGGUUAAAUUAUUUUCUCUAAUCUAUGUCAUGCUUACCGCUAAUCCGCUUGUUCGCGAAAAAAUGGCAGAUCCGUUUUUGUUUUCUAUAAGCUCGUCAUUAAUUACGUGAUCUACAAUUAGAAUUAUUUAAAUAUCUGCUUUAUUUUAAUCGGCUUAAACAAACGACAGGCAAUUCGGCGCCGACGCCGGUCAUGUGCCGUCCAUAUUCGCCAUUUUGUCAUUUGUCCUUUAAGUAAGAAAAUGCAAACAAAACAUUAUUUGCCCUAAACACGCGUUACUCUCAAAUAAUAUUACCGAAUGCCGACAAAGUGAUCUUGUUUUAUCAAACUGAACUCCGAACUGCAAUUGCAAUGUAAUUUUCCGAUAGCGAAAGUGAGGUUAUGAAAUUGACAUGACAUUUAGUGAAUGCAAUGCAAUGGACAUGUGUUUUGUUGUGUUUCUCAUCAAGAUAAUAGAAGAAUCUAGUGCUCAUACUCAUGAUCUAAUGAGCAAACAGCCCAUGCAAAGGAUGUCUUAACGGGCCAUGUCUCCACUGAUAAAAUUAUUAAGUUACCUACUUCAACGCAGCUUUUCAAGAAAGUUUCAACAUCUAAUUGGAAUUUCUCUGGAAAGUUUACAAUGCCCGAUAUUUCUACACAUCUGCCACAAAUUUAUGGAAAUCAAUAUUUUUAGAAACUGAACAUACCUUGGUUAAACGUAUAUGAAAUGGAUUAUCAUCAUUGAAGAACAUCAACCAGCUGUCGGCAACAUGCAGGUUGACUGAGGAAUCCCCAGUGCGUGGUCACGGACCGUUCCCCAUAUAUCUACUGACUUCAUAUAAAUGAAAGUGUACUGAGGACUCACUAAUCUGCACUACUAGUAACAAAGUAAUCCGACAAUCAGACUGGACCCGGUCAUGUUAGAUACCAGAGGAAGACGAAAAUAUAAUUGAUUCUGUACUGAUGCAUGACUUCGCUCGGAACGCGGCAAGAAUGAACAAUGGAAGAAAAUACUACAGACUUGUUUAUUAACGAUAAAGUUAUUUUAGUUUUUAUGAAAUAGCGAUUGAAUAAAAAUAUUA
Molecule: long non-coding RNA, 1160 nt
Filed under: Leguminivora glycinivorella
Lineage: Eukaryota; Metazoa; Arthropoda; Insecta; Lepidoptera; Tortricidae
Description: uncharacterized LOC125230425, transcript variant X1
Source: RNAcentral